UACGAAGGGGGCGAGCGUUGUUCGGAAUUACUGGGCGUAAAGAGCGCGCAGGCGGUCGUUCAAGUCGCGUGUGAAAGCCCCCGGCUCAACUGGGGAGGGUCACGCGAUACUGAUCGACUCGAAGGCAGGAGAGGGUAGUGGAAUUCCCGGUGUAGUGGUGAAAUGCGUAGAUAUCAGGAGGAACACCUGUGGUGUAGACGGCUCUCUGGACCGCAACUGACGCUGAGACACGAAAGCGUGGGUAGCAAACAGG
RNAcentral lists this ribosomal RNA (253 nucleotides) under uncultured bacterium. RNAcentral's name for it is "partial 16S ribosomal RNA". It matches the Rfam family "Bacterial small subunit ribosomal RNA", at positions 524 to 776 of the family's 1533-position model. The record is from RNAcentral.